Molecule: ribosomal RNA, 1070 nt
Filed under: uncultured organism
Description: bacterial SSU rRNA
Rfam family: Bacterial small subunit ribosomal RNA
Source: RNAcentral
UAAUACCCGAUGUGCUCAGCAGUUCACUCUGUUGAGUAAAGCUAUGGCGCUUUGGGAUGGGCCCGCGGGCCAUCAGCUAGUCGGCAGGGUAAAGGCCUACCAAGGCUAAGACGGGUAGGGGGCGUGAUAGCGCGAUCCCCCACAGUGACACUGAGACACGGGCCAGACUCCUACGGGAGGCAGCAGUGAGGAAUAUUGCGCAAUGGACGAAAGUCUGACGCAGCGACGCCGCGUGGUGCGAUGAAGGCCUUCGGGUCGUAAAGCCCUUUUCUGGGGGAAGAGAAAGGACGGUACCCCAGGAAUAAGCCCCGGCUAACUACGUGCCAGCAGCCGCGGUAAAACGUAGGGGGCAAGCGUUAUCCGGAUUUACUGGGCGUAAAGAGCGUUGAGGCGGUUCUGUAAGUUGGGCGUGAAAGCCCUGGGCUUAACUCAGGGAAGCCGUUCAAUACUGCGAAACUUGAGGGCAGCAGAGGGAGGUGGAAUUCCCGGAGUAGCGGUGAAAUGCGUAGAUAUCGGGAGGAACACCAGUGGCGAAGUCGGCCUCCUGGGCUGCUCCUGACGCUGAAGGCGAAAGCUAGGGGACCGAACGGGAUUAGAAACCCCGCUAGUCCUAGCCGUAAACGAUGGAUGCUAGGUGUGGGGCCUGUAGAUUCCCUCCGUGCCGCAGUUUACGCGUUAAGCAUCCCGCCUGGGGAGUACGGCCGCAAGGCUAAGACUCUAACGAAUUGACGGGGGCCCGCACAAGCAGCGGAGCGUGUGGUUUAAUUCGAUGCUACACGAAGAACCUUACCUGGGCUUGACAUACAGCUAGUAGUGAAGUGAAAGCGGAUCGAUCCUUCGGGGAGCCUGUACAGGUGCUGCAUGGCUGUCGUCAGCUCGUGCCGUGAGGUGUCGGGUUAAGUCCCGUAACGAGCGCAACCCUUGCUCUUAGUUAUACGUGUCUAAGAGGACUGCCGGCGGUAAGCCGGAGGCACGCUGGGGAUGACGUCAAGUCAGCAUGGCCUUUAUGUCCAGGGCUACACACACGUUACAAUGGCCGGUACAAUGGGUAGCUAAACCGCGAGGUGGAG